Molecule: ribosomal RNA, 403 nt
Filed under: uncultured bacterium
Lineage: Bacteria
Description: partial 16S ribosomal RNA
Rfam family: Bacterial small subunit ribosomal RNA
Source: RNAcentral
AUUGAACGCUGGCGGCAGGCCUAACACAUGCAAGUCGAGCGAGCGGCGGACGGGUGAGUAAUGUAUGGGGACUGCCCGAUAGAGGGGGAUAACUACUGGAAACGGUGGCUAAUACCGCAUACUAUCGGAUAACCCUUGUGGGAUUAGCUAGUAGGUGGGGUAAAGGCUCACCUAGGCGACGAUCUCUAGCUGGCCGGAGAGGCUGAUCGGCCACACUGGGACUGAGACACGGCCCAGACUCCUACGGAGGCAGCAGUGGGGAAUAUUGCACAAUGGUCGCAAGCCUGAUGGAGCAAUGCCGCGUGUAUGAAGAAGGCCUUAGGGUUGUAAAGUUCUUUCAGCGGGGAGGCGUUACCCGCACAGAAAGCCCCGGCUAACUCCGUGCCAGCAGCCGCGGUAAUAC